AAGCAGCUCGCCAGCAUUUUGACUGACAUCCCAAACUCUAUGAGCUGCCACCCUGCAUCCAAAGACUCUCCAACCUUGCCCGAGUUCUCAGCCACAGAUAUGGGUUUCUACAGAGGACCGACGGGGGGGGCACAGCCAACAUGAGUACUAUCAGAGCCAGACCUACUCACAAUCUAUAAAACCCCUACUCGUACCACCAGUUUAACCCGAACGGAAUCGGGGGCCCGGGGGCCUACCCGACAAAGUCAGAAUACACCUACAGCAACUCAUACAAGCAAUACGGGCAUUAUAAACAGGGAGCUGCAGACACCACCCAAGGACACUGGUAAGUCUGAACUUUCCACAAAUAUAAACCCAUGUAGACUAUGAUAAUGUAAUCUUUAAUAUGAGCUUUCAACAUCAGCAAAACAUAUUCAUUUUUCCUUAAACCAGCCCUUGGACUAUCAGAGAAAAGCAGCUUGCUUACUAGAGCUUAUAGGUUUUCACUGUAUCUUACAUAGCUUUUUUAACAUAGCUUAUAUGUCCCUCUAUACUUUAUCUGAAAACAUAUCAUAUGUCCAAUGAUUUAAGAAUACUCACAUUUAUUACUUUUGUAGUUUCAUUUUGAAUACCCUCCCCCCCUUUGGUGAAACUGAAAUGUUGAGUGUGUACGGUAGCUGUUGCUAAUAUGUGGUUCAUUUUAUCCAUCACACUGUAUCGUUAUGUAUAUGCUGCACCUGUACAUUGUUUGGAAAGCAAGGAAUAGAGAACUCACGUGGUCAUGCACACGCUCUCGGUUCAGUCCCUGAAUGAUGGUGUCCUCAUUGUCUUCAACAGACUAUGAUAACACCAUCAUUCAGGGACUGAACCGAGAGCGUGUGCAUGACCACGUGAGUUCUCUAUUCCUUGCUUUCCAAACAAUGUACAGGUGCAGCAUAUACAUAACGAUACAGUGUGAUGGAUAAAAUGAACCACAUAUUAGCAACAGCUACC
This 972-nucleotide long non-coding RNA is filed under the name Scleropages formosus (Asian bonytongue). Its description in RNAcentral is "lncRNA (ENSSFOG00015026971.1)". Lineage: Eukaryota; Metazoa; Chordata; Actinopteri; Osteoglossiformes; Osteoglossidae. The record is from RNAcentral.